This 253-nucleotide ribosomal RNA is filed under the name uncultured bacterium. Its description in RNAcentral is "partial 16S ribosomal RNA". It matches the Rfam family "Bacterial small subunit ribosomal RNA", at positions 524 to 776 of the family's 1533-position model. The record is from RNAcentral.
UACGAAGGGGGCUAGCGUUGUUCGGAAUUACUGGGCGUAAAGCGCACGUAGGCGGUCAUUUAAGUCAGGGGUGAAAUCCCGGGGCUCAACCCCGGAACGGCCUUUGAUACUGGGUGUCUUGAGUUCGGAAGAGGUGAGUGGAAUUGCGAGUGUAGAGGUGAAAUUCGUAGAUAUUCGCAGGAACACCAGUGGCGAAGGCGGCUCACUGGUCCGAUACUGACGCUGAGGUGCGAAAGCGUGGGGAGCAAACAGG